This 382-nucleotide unclassified non-coding RNA is filed under the name uncultured Verrucomicrobiaceae bacterium. RNAcentral's name for it is "contains 16S-23S intergenic spacer region". Lineage: Bacteria; Pseudomonadati; Verrucomicrobiota; Verrucomicrobiia; Verrucomicrobiales; Verrucomicrobiaceae. The record is from RNAcentral.
UCCGAGUUGACCCCGGCAGUCUCCUAUGAGUUCCCACCAUUACGUGCUGGCAACAAAUCACAGGGGUUGCGCUCGUUGCGGGACUUAACCCAACAUCUCACGACACGAGCUGACGACGGCCAUGCAGCACCUGUGCAAAGCGGGUAUUGCUACCCUAUCCGGCUUUCACCGGAGACACAGUGCAUGUCAAACCCAGGUAAGGUUCUUCGCGUUGCAUCGAAUUAAGCCACAUACUCCACCGCUUGUGCGGGUCCCCGUCAAUUUCUUUGAGUUUUAAUCUUGCGACCGUACUUCCCAGGCGGCACGUUUAACGCGUUAGCUCCGGCACGGAGGGGGUCGAAUCCCCCCACACCAAACGUGCACCGUUUACUGCCAGGACUAC